UUAGGAAUCGUACACAAUGGACGAAAGUCUGAUGUCGUGACGCCGCGUGAAGGAAGAAGGCCUUCGGGUUGUAAACUUCUUUUAUUUCGGAGAAUUAUGAUAGUACGAAAUGAAUAAGCAUCGGCUAACUCCGUGCCAGAAGCCUCGGUAAUACGGAGGAUGCGAGCGUUAUCCGGUCUUAUUGGGCGUAAAGAGCGCGUAGGCGGUUUGUUAAGUCCGGUCUUAAAUAUUGCGGCCCAACCGCAAAGCUGGGUCGGAUACUGACGAACUUGAAUAUUUGCAGGGGCAAGCGGAAUCUGCGGUGUAGGAGUAAAAUCCAUUGAUAUCGCAGAGAACACCAAUGGCGAAGGCAGCUUGCUAGGCAUUCAUUGACGCUGAGGCGCGAAAGCGUGGGUAGCGAACGGG
This 405-nucleotide ribosomal RNA is filed under the name uncultured bacterium. RNAcentral describes it as "bacterial SSU rRNA". It matches the Rfam family "Bacterial small subunit ribosomal RNA", at positions 355 to 776 of the family's 1533-position model. The record is from RNAcentral.